Molecule: long non-coding RNA, 1165 nt
Organism: Drosophila obscura
Lineage: Eukaryota; Metazoa; Arthropoda; Insecta; Diptera; Drosophilidae
Exons: 3
Source: RefSeq, a predicted model, not a curated record
GCCACAAUCAAGUUUAGUGAGUUUAGAGACUGGAGCUAACUGUCUGGCUUCUCUUUUUAAUCAUGGCUAUCCUGAAGUGCAUUAGCAUUCUGAUGGUGGUUGUGCCCUGCACGCUUUCGUUGCUUGUCUGGGUAAAAUAUCCAUCCGAUCCACCUGGCAACUGCACUUUGCCAGACGGCAAAGUAAUUGAAGUAGGUACCCAUGUCAGUCACGACGACAUGUGUGCCAACUAUUUUUGUUGGAAGCCGGACGGAACUGCCGUGAUUUCAUACUGCCAAAUCCCUGUCCCGUUCCAGGAGUGCAACGAAACGGGCGUAUGGACGUAUGGGCCUUAUCCCGAUUGCUGUUAUCAAUGUUCCCAGUACGUUGAUUGUUGAUUUAAACGUACAAUAAACCUUCAGAAACACUACUUUGCAAAAGAUUUGUAUCAGAACUUUUGUUGAACCAAGUGAACCAAUCUAAUCCAAGAAAUUACCAAAACAACAAUUUGACACCCGUUGCAAGUGCAAAUGGAAAUCACCUAAAGUCACCUGCUUCUAAAGUUUCCUAUUCCAAAUGUAAUAGUUAAGAAUAGUUGGAGACAUCGAUCUGCAAGAUAUGUAUAUACAUACAUUUUUAUUGUAUAAAGUUUGCAUCAGGUUUUUCCCGGGAAUUGCAAAUAUUAGAAAUAUGGGAAAUAUUGGCUAUAAAAGGAAGUGCCAGCUACAGUUCUGUUCAUUGAGUUAGACACUGGAUCUAACUGACUGACGACUGGCUUUGUCUUUGGUCAUGGCUAUACUGAGGUGCAUUUUCAUUCUGAUGGUGGCCGUGUCCUGCACGCUUUCGUUGGUAGCCUGGAAUAAGUAUCCAAACAAUGAUGGUGGAUGCACUUUACCAGACGGCCGUGCAAUUGAUUUUCAGCAAGUUGUCCAUCACACAGCUAUGUGUGGCAACUAUAUAUGCUGGAAUGAGGACGGAACAACCGCCUUAAAUUAUUGCCAAGCCUCCAUCCCGUUCCAGGAGUGCAACGAAACUGGCGUCAACACCAAUCACGUUUUUCCCGAUUGCUGUUGGCAAUGCGUUCAGUACGUUAAAUGUUAGUUAUAAUCGUACAUACAUAUGUAUGUAUAAUAAUCUGUAAUCGUAUACAAAUUUGUUGCUUAAAUAAACCAUCGUAAUAAUUUGC